GGUUGGAUCAUUAUUGAAAACAACCUAAAAGAGUGUGACCGAAAGGUCCCUCUUUUAAACCCACACACUGUGAACCGUUUAUUGUCUCUUGGUGGGUUACUAUUAAAAGUGCUUUAACCGGCGCUUUGCCCACCAGUAUUUAAACACCAAAUCUUAUUAAACCAAGUCUCAUGAAUUUUUAUUACAAUAAUAAGAAAACAACUUUUGACAACGGAUCUCUUGGCUCUCGCAACGAUGAAGAACGCAGCGAAAUGCGAUAAGUAAUGUGAAUUGCAGUAUUCCGUGAAUCAUUAAAUCUUUGAACGCAACUUGCGCCUUUUGGUAUUCCGAAGGGCAUAUCUGUUUGAGAAUCAGUUUAAACCUCAAAGCCUAGCUUUGGAAAAUGAGAUUGUCUCUGAAUUUCGGUUUAGAGUCUCUUUAAUAUCAUGGAGUUGAAAGGACCAGAUUUUGGUAUAAAGGCUCUGAAAGCAAGAUGUACUAGAACGCAAGUUCUUUUUUUUUCUAUGCUGAUAAAGACCUUCUUACAAUAUAAAAUCCCUUUUAUUUAUUCCAAAUUUAAACACGAAAGAGAAUUGCGACACAUUCCCUUUUAAGACAUGGUCUCAAAUCAGAUAAGACUACCCGCUGAACUUAAGCAUAUCAAUAAGCGGAGGAAAAGAAACUAACAAGGAUUCCCCUAGUAACGGCGAGUGAAGCGGGAAUAGCUCAAAUUUGAAAUCUCAUAGUUUUACUAUGCGAAUUGUAGUUUAGAGAAACGUUUUCGGAGGCAAAUCAGAUAAAAGUCCUUUGGAACAGGGCAUCAUAGAGGGUGAGAAUCCCGUCUUUGAUCUGAAGCUUGCUUCUAUGUGAUACGUUUUCCAAGAGUCGGGUUGUUUGGGAAUGCAGCCCAAAAUGGGUGGUAAAUAUCAUCUAAAGCUAAAUAUUGGCGAGAGACCGAUAGCGAACAAGUACCGUGAGGGAAAGAUGAAAAGAACUUUGAAAAGAGAGUUAAAUAGUACGUGAAAUUGUCAAAAGGGAAACGCUUGAAGCCAGUUUUACCUGUAGAAUCCCAACUGUCCUUCUGGACAGCACAUGUUUCUACAGGUAGGUCAACAUCGGUUUAUUUCGCAGUAUAAAGCUAGAGGAAGGUAGCGGUAACGUGUUAUAGCCUCUAGUAAUGCUGUGGUUUAGACCGAGGAACGCAGAGCAGUCUUGUGUGCUUGUUCGCCAGCCUUAACCUUCUGCUAAACAACUUGUUGAUUAGUGGGAGACUUGAGGUUGCCCGGGCAAAGCAUAUCACCUGUUCUUAGGAUGUUGACAUAAUGGCUUUAAACGACCCGUCUUGAAACACGGACCAAGGAGUCUAACACAUAUGCGAGUAUUUGGGUUUUUAAACCCGGAAUGCGUAAUGAAAGUAAUAAGGUAGGAUCCCGCAAGGGUUGCACUAUCGACCAGUCUGGAAGUAUUUUACAGAAAGAUCUGAGUAAGAGCAUAUUUGCUAGGACCCGAAAGAUGGUGAACUAUGCCUGAAUAGGGUGAAGCCGGCGGAAACGCCGGUGGAAGCUCGUAGCGAUUCUGACGUGCAAAUCGAUCGUCAAAUUUGGGUAUAGGGGCGAAAGACUAAUCGAACUAUCUAAUGGCUGGUUCCCUC
Molecule: unclassified non-coding RNA, 1630 nt
Filed under: uncultured fungus
Lineage: Eukaryota; Fungi
Description: sequence contains 18S rRNA gene, ITS1, 5.8S rRNA gene, ITS2, 28S rRNA gene
Rfam family: Eukaryotic large subunit ribosomal RNA (bases 598-1630)
Source: RNAcentral